This 1002-nucleotide ribosomal RNA is filed under the name Triticum aestivum (bread wheat). RNAcentral describes it as "partial small subunit ribosomal RNA". Lineage: Eukaryota; Viridiplantae; Streptophyta; Magnoliopsida; Poales; Poaceae. The record is from RNAcentral.
GAGACCGCGCAGGGCAUGCACCUGUUCAAGAUCGAUGGCUACAGCCUGUGCAGGGGCCUCGGCGUCGGCAAGUCCAUCCGGUCCACCACCUUCCGCGUCGGCGGCCACGACUGGUGCGUCUACUUCUACCCCGACGGCGUCAACGAGGACAGGAAGGACUACGUCUCAGUCUUCCUCGAGCUCAAGACCCAGAACGCAGAGGCGAGGGCGCUCCACCAUAUGAGGUACGAGCCGCUGGUGUUUAACUCUACUGAUAACUUGUUAGACUGUAUUUACAUAUAGCUUCUGUAUAUGUCUUGUAUAUUGAGGACGGAGCUGUGGUCGUACAUUCUGGAGGACACCCUUAUCCUCGAGUGCAAUCUUGCCGUCAUCGAGUUGAAGGAUGCACAAGAGGCUGAUGUCAAGGUUAACUUCGAGGCCCAGGCGCUGCCGUCCGAAUUGGUUGAUAACCUUAGCAGCUUGCUGGAGGCUACGGAGGGAUCCGAUGUGUCUUUCAAGGUCAAGGAGGAGGUUUUCCCAGCUCAUAAGAUCAUCCUCGCAAUGCGGUCGCCGGUCUUCAGGGUGAAGUUCUACGGCCCGAUGAGGGAUGAGAAUAGCCGCAGCAUAACCGUCGAAGACAUGCAGCCCGCUGUUUUCAGAGGACUGCUUCACUUCAUCUACACUGAUUCGUUGCCUCCAUUGGAUUACCUGGAUGACGAUGAGUAUGAAGAAAUGCUUAGGCAUUUGCUGGUGGCCGCAGAUAGGUACGCCAUGGAAAGGAUGAAGUACAUGUGCGAGAUCAAACUUUGUGAGGUUCUUCAUACCGGGACUGUUGCGACCACCUUAGCUUUAGCCGACCAGCAUCAUUGCAGCAAGCUCAAAGAUGCAUGCAUUGGAUUCAUCAACUCUUCAAAUAGAAUGGUUGGUGUGAUGGCAAGUAAGGGGUAUGAGUCCCUGAAAAGGACAUGUUCUUCUCUCAUUGCUGAUAUAUUGGAGAAAGCAGCUAAGACUCGCAGAAUUUAG